RNAcentral lists this ribosomal RNA (449 nucleotides) under uncultured bacterium. Its description in RNAcentral is "partial 16S ribosomal RNA". It matches the Rfam family "Bacterial small subunit ribosomal RNA", at positions 29 to 523 of the family's 1533-position model. The record is from RNAcentral.
AACGAACGCUGGCGGCAGGCCUAACACAUGCAAGUCGAGCGAGGUAGCAAUACCUAGCGGCGGACGGGUGAGUAACGCGUGGGAACGUGCCCCUUGGUACGGAAUAGCCCCGGGAAACUGGGAGUAAUACCGUAUGAGCUCUACGGAGGAAAGAUUUAUCGCCAAGGGAUCGGCCCGCGUUGGAUUAGGUAGUUGGUGGGGUAAUGGCCUACCAAGCCGACGAUCCAUAGCUGGUUUGAGAGGAUGAUCAGCCACACUGGGACUGAGACACGGCCCAGGCUCCUACGGAAGGCAGCAGUGGGGAAUCUUAGACAAUGGGCGCAAGUCUGAUCUAGCUAUGCCGCGUGAGCGAUGAAGGCCUUAGGGUUGUAAAGCUCUUUCAGCUGGGAAGAUAAUGGCUGUACCAGCAGAAGAAGCCCCGGCUAACUCCGUGCCAGCCGCCGCGGUAA